AUUCCAGCUCCAAUAGCGUAUAUUAAAGUUGUUGCGGUUAAAAAGCUCGUAGUUGGAUCUCGGCGGGCAGGGGGUGGUUCGCUCUUCAGCGCUACUGCCCCGCUUUGCCCGUGUGAUUGGCGGAGGUUUCGGGGUGCUCUUCGUUGAGUGACUCGGAGCGCCGUCAGGUUUACUUUGAAAAAAUUAGAGUGCUCAAAGCAGGCUUUUCACGCUUGAAUAUUCGUGCAUGGAAUAAUAAUCUAGGACUUCGGUCAUAUUCUGUUGGUUUCUGUAACUGAAGUAAUGAUUGAUAGGGAUAGUUGGGGGUGCUAGUAUUGAGCGGCCAGAGGUGAAAUUCUUGGAUUCGCUCAAGACUAACUUAUGCGAAAGCAUUCACCAAGGAUGUCUUCAUCG
Molecule: ribosomal RNA, 393 nt
Filed under: Oithona sp.
Lineage: Eukaryota; Metazoa; Arthropoda; Copepoda; Cyclopoida; Oithonidae
Description: partial small subunit ribosomal RNA
Rfam family: Eukaryotic small subunit ribosomal RNA
Source: RNAcentral